Molecule: long non-coding RNA, 216 nt
Filed under: Capsicum annuum
Lineage: Eukaryota; Viridiplantae; Streptophyta; Magnoliopsida; Solanales; Solanaceae
Description: long non-coding RNA (CANN_LNC011070)
Source: RNAcentral
ACUAUAAUUAAACUAUAACUCUAGCUUGUUGAUUUUACCUUUAUGGAUGUUUUUCUUUUUGUGUGUUCUUAUUUUAGCUUUUUUGUGUUGAUUUCAUGAGGUUGAAGAACUUUCUGAGACAGCUUCCUCCAUAUGAUAAGAAGUAAUUGUUGCAGUAUGUUUCACUUCUGAUCUUCUGCAUACUACUGCCUGUACAUACCAAAAAGCAGCUGAAAG